AUGUGUUUUUUCAGGUCCCCCCUAAGGCCGAAUCCUUUGUUGCACUCGGAGCAGCUAUAUGGUUUUCCACCAGCGCUAACAGGAACAUCAUUGUUCUUCAGAAAGUUUAAACCUGACUGUGGUUCUCUGGUCUCCUUCCAAAAGUCACUGUCGUCAGUCUCGGGUUCGGAAGAGUCUCCGGGCACUGGUUCUGGUCUUCCACAGUCCUCUCCAUCAGCUUGUGUUUGAUGAAGCUGUGAAGACUGAGGUUUCUCUUCAUCAUCUUCACUCUUCACAGGGACAGGAGUGAAUG
Molecule: long non-coding RNA, 292 nt
Organism: Epinephelus moara (kelp grouper)
Lineage: Eukaryota; Metazoa; Chordata; Actinopteri; Perciformes; Serranidae
Exons: 3
Source: RefSeq, a predicted model, not a curated record